CUAUGCUUUAUUUGCAAUUUCAAAUAAUUUAUUGCAGUUCCAGAAUACCUGUAACCGUAUAUCCGUAUUUGUAACUGUGUUUCUUUUCACAUACCUAAGAGUACACUUCACAUCCUAGAACCCAUAGAAAUGUAUAUUUGACAGAACUACACACCCAUCUGAGGCCUACCUGUUUUAAUUCAUGAUCACCCCGGAUACUUCUACAACUAACCCGCUUGGUGUCUGAUGUUGAUGCAGUCUGGGCACUAGUAUAUGUUGGCUUGCUGACUAUCACUGACGAUGAAGUACUUCUCCAAAUCUUGACCCUGUGUCUUCUGCCAUCAUUGUUCAGGGUAGUACUGCAAAGAACAGUCUCCAGGGUCUACCUCCAACAUUUGCUUCCCGACCACCAUGUGCUACGUUUGAA
This is a long non-coding RNA of Carassius carassius (crucian carp), 406 nucleotides long. RefSeq lists it as uncharacterized. NCBI's taxonomy places the organism in Eukaryota, Metazoa, Chordata, Actinopteri, Cypriniformes, Cyprinidae. The transcript has 3 exons. The record is from RefSeq and is a predicted model, not a curated record.